This 84-nucleotide transfer RNA is filed under the name Saccharimonas aalborgensis (SeqCode). RNAcentral's name for it is "Candidatus Saccharimonas aalborgensis tRNA". It matches the Rfam family "tRNA". From Rfam's summary of the family: Transfer RNA (tRNA) molecules are approximately 80 nucleotides in length. Their secondary structure includes four short double-helical elements and three loops (D, anti-codon, and T loops). The record is from Rfam by way of RNAcentral. Lineage: Bacteria; Candidatus Saccharimonadota; Candidatus Saccharimonadia; Saccharimonadales (SeqCode); Saccharimonadaceae (SeqCode).
GGGCUGGUGGCGGAAUUGGUAGACGCGCUAGACUCAAAAUCUGGUUCAUGUACGUGAGUGGGGGUUCAAGUCCCCCCCGGCCCA